UAUCCCUUGAUGUACUAUACAACUUAAAAACAAGAAUCAAAAGACAAAGCAUACAGCAGAAAACAAUGGGGACCGAAACCCCUUCAAUGUCCUCUCUAGCCUCACGAAUAUGCAAUCACAUGGCCUCCAUCUUUGCCAAACCCACUGGCCCCCACCCACCACCCUUAGACCUCAUGGUCACCACUCUCACUUCCACGGCAGCCCAAAAUGGUCGGGUCUUCCUCUAUGGGGUUGGUAGGGAGGGCCUGAUGCUCAAGGCUCUAUGCAUGAGGCUGGCUCACCUUGGCAUCUCUACCCACUUUGUCUUUGACAUGACAACCCCACCAAUCACUUCAAAUGACCUCCUCAUAGCCUCUGCUGGACCUGGAGGAUUCUCUACUGUUGAUGCUUUAUGCUCACUCGCAAGAUCGUAUGGUGCUACAGUGUUGUUGUUGACGGCUCAGCCUGAUACAGGAUCCUGUGUGAAGCAUGCUAGCGUGGUUUGUUAUGUGCCAGCACAGACCAUGGCUGAUGACAAGGGUGAUGGCGAUGGCGGCGAGGAGAAAUCUAGGCCUUUAAUGCCUAUGGGAAGUGUUUUUGAGGGGGCCUUGUUUGUGUUCUUUGAGAUGGUUGUUUACAAGUUAGGUGAGGCUUUAGGACAGAGCCCUGAGGUCAUUCGAUCUCGCCAUACCAACCUUGAAUGAAAAAAAUGGGUUUCUUUCCGGCAAUUUUGUAGGCACUCCAAAAUCUCCAUCUGUUGAGGUUAUUUCUGGCUGCCUUUGUUUGUUUUUAUGGGGCGGUCUCUCUUUUUGGAGGUUGUUUUUAUAUGCCAUAUAUACGCAAGCUUUAAAUUAUUUGCUCAUAAACAGAGUCUGAGUCGAGGCAUUUUCUCAAAGCUUAUAUAUAUAUGUGCUGCCAAAUGCAGCAAAAUCACGUCAGUCUUACCUUUCUCUGUGAAGAGUUGAUCCGCCUCCCAUGCCGGAUUAUGGAUUCGAUCCUAUCAUCUCUUCAAAGUCAUCGUCGUGUUUACGGAGCUGUACAUGGAAACUUUCCAUUAAAAUGGGUGCGCAUCCCUCUCAGUCACUUCUUCAAGAAAACAUGUUACUCAAAAAAUAAAAAUAAAGCAGGAACAUCUCUCUCUCUCUCUGUAUUUCAAUCCUUGACGUGGCAGACCGAUCCCUGCUGCUUGCUGUUCCUGUCAUGUUCGCCGAUGAUCACGAGGUCAGCAGUCAAUUCAAGUGGAUUGCCAGAUGGAUAUCACCACAUGGCAGUCUGCGAUUAGCGCAGGCAUAGAGCCCCACGUGCACGGGGGGUUUCCAUCACGUGGUCUUGUAAUAGCCAGGGAAAAAAUCAAAGAGCAUGGACUUUGCAGGCUUGUGUCUCUGCUGGCUCAACACACGAUGAAGGUGGUCUUGAUUAAGCCGUGGGCUGAUUGAAUAAAUGAUUAAACUCUCUACACGCA
RNA transcript from Populus nigra (black poplar), 1441 nucleotides. RefSeq lists it as uncharacterized. Lineage: Eukaryota; Viridiplantae; Streptophyta; Magnoliopsida; Malpighiales; Salicaceae. The record is from RefSeq and is a predicted model, not a curated record. The transcript is spliced from 3 exons.